This 1143-nucleotide long non-coding RNA is filed under the name Canis lupus familiaris (dog). RNAcentral's name for it is "lncRNA (ENSCAFG00040020218.1)". The record is from RNAcentral. Lineage: Eukaryota; Metazoa; Chordata; Mammalia; Carnivora; Canidae.
AUUUUUAAUUGGAGUUCAAUUUGCCAACAUAUAGCAUAACACCCAGUGCUCAUCCCAUCAAGUGGAAUAGAGGCCAUUUAGAUGAGGCCUGUGGCUUUAAGUUUGCUAUAGUUCCCCCCCGCCAACCUGAUUGUCCCCUGACCAAGGGUCAGGAGUCACUGUGGCCAAUGGUCAGGGGUCACUGAAUCACAGUGCUUGCAGUUUUAAAAUUUUUUCCCCUCAAUACUGAGUAAUGCCUCUAAAUGCAUGUCUUUACUUAAAAUGACAAAAAGAAAGCCAUCUGAAUGUGCAGAUGGGAAAUUUAUUUUUUUCAGGGGAGAAUAAAAUGGUACAUAUUGAGCAUGAACUAAUUGCCAGUCUCUGAGCUAACAGCUUUCCAGGCAUAGCCAGCCCCUCCCCAUUUUACAGAUGAAGAAGUGGAGGCUUGAAUGUCUCCAGAAACACCUCAAGCUUCUUAAGGGAAACAUGGCCCUGCUCUGGUGCUCGAACCUCUGCUCUUUCCACCAAGCCCCAGGGCUUCCUUGACCUUGAGCGUCUUCCUGAGUGCCUGACUUUCACAGUCUGGGUGUGGCUCCUCUCAAAGUUGCAAAACUGCUUUAAGGCACCUGCCAAAGAGAAAGCCAGAAGCCACAGAAGUACCCCCUUCUCAAAGCCAGUCCCUGGGAUGCUGCCUCAAAAAUGCCUUCUUCAGUGGGAACAGAAUUCUUUGUGGUGUCUGCACACUAGAUUCCUCCUGCUGCCUCCUUCCCUUGCUCGUAUUUUGACAUCGGGUCCUGAGCAUCCAGCCUUCUCUUCCCGCGCCCCCCCAUCAUUCAGUGCCAGCUCUUUGCCAGAGCUGAUGAGUUAGAUGUGAGCCUCUGGUUCUGGCCCGAAGGUCCUGGGGGCUGGUGUGCCACACUGGCAUAAUGCUGAAGUGACAGCAGUGACCCCAACGCCCAGACUGCCCUGGAAAUAGGAGGGGGGCAGGGGAAAGGUCAGGAGUGUGGGUUUGCUCUCUGCCGUUCCUGCAGGAUGGAAAGCCCUACACAAGCCAAAGACGGAGACUGGAGGGGACAGCUGCAAGUGGAGACAGUGGCCUCAUGCUCACUUGGGAUUCCUGUCCUGGCAGCAGAACUGUGUGCUCUGUGAGCCACCCACCAACAC